This is a long non-coding RNA of Homo sapiens (human), 464 nucleotides long. RefSeq lists it as uncharacterized. The record is from RefSeq and is marked predicted. The transcript has a single exon. Lineage: Eukaryota; Metazoa; Chordata; Mammalia; Primates; Hominidae.
AGGAGUCAUCACUAGGUGCUUUGUCCUUUUUGUAUUCUAGUUGCACCCACCUCUUGGAUUGGAUAUAGCAAUAACAUUUAUUGGCCGUUGUGAGCUCUUGAUCCCAGUCAUUACCCCUGAGAACUAAAAAUAGAUGGUUCUUAAUUCAACUUACUGAAAAUUUCCCCAAACAAUAGCAAAUCUGACUUUUCCCUCUUCAGUUGCCUGGUAUUAAGGUUGGAUAAAUGAAGCAUGCACAGCUACAGGCUUUCUACUUAACUUCUGGGUUUGCUAUUACAAAUCCUAUUUACUCUCAUACCCUUCUCCUUAGUCCUUCAUAUUUCUCUGCCUCUAUUCUUCUAUACUGCAGAUUUUUCUCACCUAUUGUACAAAGAAAUUGCGAUGUAUAUUUUCAUGUAAUUUGAUUUUGGAAUUCUGUCACCUUAUGUAGUGAGUUCUUCCAAAAUAUAAUUUUUUUUCAAUAA